Molecule: ribosomal RNA, 463 nt
Filed under: Brucella sp.
Lineage: Bacteria; Pseudomonadati; Pseudomonadota; Alphaproteobacteria; Hyphomicrobiales; Brucellaceae
Description: bacterial SSU rRNA
Rfam family: Bacterial small subunit ribosomal RNA
Source: RNAcentral
CUAACGCAUUAAACAUUCCGCCUGGGGAGUCGUCCAAGAUUAAAAUCAAAGGAAUUGCGGGGGCCCGCCAAGCGGUGGAGCAUGUGUUUAUUGAAGCAACGCGCAGACCUUACCAGCCCUUGACAUCUUACGACCGGUAAGAGAUUUACUUCACUUCGGGGCGUAGAGACAGGUGCGCAUGGCGUGUCAGCUCGUGUCGUGAGAUGUUGGGUUAAGUCCCGCAACGACGCAACCCUGCCCUUAGUUGCCCAUUCGUUGGGCACUCUAAGGGACCCGGUGAUAACCAGAGGAAGGUGGGGAUGACGUCAAGUCUCAUGGCCCUUACGGGCUGGGCUACACACGUGCUACAAUGGUGACAGUGGGCAGCGAGCCGCGAGUGUGAGCUAAUCUCCAAAAGCCAUCUCAGUUCGGAUGCCUCUGCAACUCGAGAGCAUGAAGUGAUCGCUAGUAUCGCGCAGGCCCU